GAGGGUAUAGCUCAAGUGGUAGAGCUCAUGCUUAGCAAGCAUGAAGUCCUGGGUUCAAUCCCCAGUGCCUCCU
Camelus ferus (Wild Bactrian camel) is the source of this 73-nucleotide transfer RNA. It matches the Rfam family "tRNA". Rfam says of the family: Transfer RNA (tRNA) molecules are approximately 80 nucleotides in length. Their secondary structure includes four short double-helical elements and three loops (D, anti-codon, and T loops). The record is from Rfam. Lineage: Eukaryota; Metazoa; Chordata; Mammalia; Artiodactyla; Camelidae.